AUCCAACUGACGAGUUCCGAAUAGGACGAAGUGUGCGUCCUGGAU
This 45-nucleotide non-coding RNA is filed under the name Schistosoma mansoni. Lineage: Eukaryota; Metazoa; Platyhelminthes; Trematoda; Strigeidida; Schistosomatidae. The record is from RNAcentral.